This 868-nucleotide long non-coding RNA is filed under the name Piliocolobus tephrosceles (Ugandan red Colobus). RNAcentral describes it as "lncRNA (ENSPTEG00000019935.1)". The record is from RNAcentral. Lineage: Eukaryota; Metazoa; Chordata; Mammalia; Primates; Cercopithecidae.
AACAAGCACAUUACCUUAUCCUUUUUUUAUGUGUAUGAACACUUACUGAAUCAGGUAAAAUAAAAUAAUGCCAUUGUAAUUUUAUACAUAGUAUAAAUUAACUUACCAUCAAAUAAUUUACUUUGGAUAUGUAUUUAUUCUUAUAGAUAUACUUCCCUUUUUAUUGUCAUAAUUAAGUUAUUUUAAUUUUUUUUUUUUUUGUUUUUCUUAAUUUUAUGAAUAUGUAAAAAUGUGUCUUUUUUUGUCAUAUAUCAUUAAAUGAAGUAUGUAUAGGUAUUCAUGAGUAUCUUUUUUUUUUAAUAAAAAAUAUUCAUCUUCUUUCCUUUUUUUUGUUUUUCUGUUUUUCUAUUUUUUUGUUUUUUUGUUUGUUUUUCUCCAAUACAUGUAAAAAUGUAUCGAUCGUUGCCUAUAAUUUUAUUUUCCUUUUUUAACUUAAUACUCGAUAUAAAUUGUUUUGUUAAAGAUUAUGAUGGCGUGAAAGACUUAAAUAAUUGCUCAAGUCUUCACUGUUCUUAUAAUAACUUAUCAGAAAUAUAUAAAAAUUCUCAAAGUAUUUUAGCAGAGUUAGAGAAUUUAUUGUACGAUGUGCGUAAUCAUAAAAGUAUGCAUCAGACAGAACAUGAAUACAAUAAAAAAUUGGAUUUUGACAUAAAAUUUCCAAAUAAAACGGAUUAUGAAGAUUUGUCAUAUUUUCCAUCAGAAGAUGAAUAUGAAAAUCUUGACCAUUAUACGGAGCCAGUUCCAUAUAUAAUUAUUGAUAAAACAGAUAAAGAUAAUUUCGAAGAAUCUAUACUAGUAAUACGCAAAAAUAUAAAUAUAUACAUACACGUAUAUGUUUACUAUAUAAUCUGGAUAAAUUAUAAUUUAU